AUUGAACGCUGGCGGCAUGCCUUACACAUGCAAGUCGAACGGUAACAGGUCUUCGGAUGCUGACGAGUGGCGAACGGGUGAGUAAUACAUCGGAACGUGCCCGAUCGUGGGGGAUAACGGAGCGAAAGCUUUGCUAAUACCGCAUACGAUCUACGGAUGAAAGCAGGGGACCGCAAGGCCUUGCGCGGACGGAGCGGCCGAUGGCAGAUUAGGUAGUUGGUGGGAUAAAAGCUUACCAAGCCGACGAUCUGUAGCUGGUCUGAGAGGACGACCAGCCACACUGGGACUGAGACACGGCCCAGACUCCUACGGGAGGCAGCAGUGGGGAAUUUUGGACAAUGGGCGCAAGCCUGAUCCAGCCAUGCCGCGUGCAGGAUGAAGGCCUUCGGGUUGUAAACUGCUUUUGUACGGAACGAAAAGACUCUGGUUAAUACCUGGGGUCCAUGACGGUACCGUAAGAAUAAGCACCGGCUAACUACGUGCCAGCCGCCGCGGUAA
Molecule: ribosomal RNA, 498 nt
Filed under: uncultured bacterium
Lineage: Bacteria
Description: partial 16S ribosomal RNA
Rfam family: Bacterial small subunit ribosomal RNA
Source: RNAcentral